GCUGCCCGUGGGGUGGGAUGCUGGAAUUGCCUCUCUGGCUGUGUGCUGAGCUCUGGCUGCAGGGGACUGUCAGGCCUUGGUGGCUCUGUUCCCUGAUGUCCAUUCCCUGGCCUGAAUUCCUUGCAGCUCCCAGCUGGGGAAACCUGGGAGAACAGGGCAGGGACAGAGGUGACAUCUGUAGCUGCCAA
Molecule: long non-coding RNA, 188 nt
Organism: Pseudopipra pipra
Lineage: Eukaryota; Metazoa; Chordata; Aves; Passeriformes; Pipridae
Exons: 3
Source: RefSeq, a predicted model, not a curated record